CCCACCCCCUCAAAUCUGACUGAUUGGAAGCAGCGGGAGGAGGAGGACUGAUCAUUAUCCAAUGAGGCACGUGGGGUGACUACCCAGCCCCGUUGUGCCAAACUUGACUUGAUCGCAGCAUUUGGAACCAACCGUAGUAUCUAGUAUAGAACGCCAAGUGUCAGGCGCAUCAAUCACCGUGACCAGAGAGUCGGUUCUAUCCGUUCAGUAGAUUGGGACCAUCAGGUUGGAAGGGGAAUUUUGUAGUAGUCAUGUAACCUUGCGAGCACAUGCCGCGAUUGAGGAGGGAUGCGCUUUAAGGCCUCGAACCUCGACGCGUGGGAUCGUAAUAUGAUCUGAGUCGUACAGGUCACCUCGGUGGAUCGGAAUUUGUGGAUGGCGCGGGAUCAGAUGCCGGCUGUGGUGUCAGUCACACAUUGGCAGGGAAGCAACAGGAGGCGAGUGCAUGUAGGGACCGUGUUGUAGGGCCAUCCUCCGUCGGGUCCCACCUUUCUGUCACGUGUGGGACUGCUCAGGAUGAGAUUUGCGCGAGUGCUUCGGCCGUACUGUGAGUGCGCAAUUGUGCUCUUGUCUCCAGCGUUUUGUUCUGAUUUCUUUUCUUUUAUUCGUACACUACAUUCUAAUCGGUCUCUUCCAAGCUUGGAAAGUCUUGGUUUCUGGGAAAUGAGCUGGGAGGGGCUGCCAGUGGGAUUGGAGGAGAAAGGUAGGCAUGGGUUGUGUGUGUGGGUAUGUUGCUGGGGACCAGGGCAGCAACAUUAUAUGCCUUCAAGAGGAGAUGACCACCUGACGUGUUGUCCAUCGUGAACGUCUCUGGGUAUGUCCACCGUGACAUAUUUGCCUCCGAAUAAUAAUAGAUGGCUAUGGCUCGAAAUGGGUUCACUCAAUUGCAUGUUCUUUCUUUCUUUCUUUCUUCAACUUUCGGAACUAAUUUUGGACUCUCCCUCGCGAACAAAACUCGCCUCUUUUGUGGGUAUGGAACUGCUAUUGACGAAUCUUUAUACGCUGUGGUGUCACCGCCUCGGUUAGUAGGCAGGGCUAGAAUUUCUGGCGACCUUUUAAGCAGGAAUUGGCGAGAUACUCUAGUUCAGUCCAAUUUGAACUCGAGUUGAUCACGAGGCACUUCUUUUCUGGAGGAGCAGAGGCUCAGCGAGAUUCAAAUAUGGAAUCAAGAUCCCGCUCUGCUGUUCACCAAUUGGGGACCAAAGGAGCUGAUGAACCCCGGUUGUCAUGAACUUAGUCUUCAAAGAUCAGUAUAAAUUAAUGAAAGCAUGACAUCAUUCAUUCAUAUGUUAUUAUUAUUCCUAAAUUUAUUUGCUCUUUCAAGUCAUCUUGCAGAGAAAAUCUCUCACCAAGUUGGGCUUGUCAGCAAGCCAUUAACCUCGCUGCACAAUAAAGAGAUUAAGCAAGCUCAAGGCAAAGAAAACCCGAUUACUAAGCCUUGAAAAACGAGGGUUUUCUUCAGAAGAGCUCAUGAUUCAUUUCUUCUUAACCUUUGUGUUGUAUUGGAGCUCAUACUUCGUGGAUGUAAAAUUUGUAGAUCGUGCAUAGAAGAAUGAUUUUUUUCAGAAUUUUGUUUGACCUCUCAAUCUUAAAGAGCAUUGAGCGUGAUCCCAACUUCUUCACAAAUGAACACAAUUCAUCAUCAAUGUAGAAUUGACAUCAGCUCUUAGCAUAAAGUGGCCCGGUUUCUUUAUAGCUGUUCUGCCUAAUUGGGGUCUGAUUCUAUCCUACCAAAACCUAGAAUUUUUUUUCAUCGUAAAAUGUCAAGUAGAAGGAAGGUAAAUGAUUUUCCAUUUAAUGAAUUUCAUUUGCACCAUAAUCAUAACUCCAUAGCAAAUCCCUUCUAAAUAUUCUACAAAUUGGAAUGUUAUGACAAAGCCAUAAUAAAAAGUGACACAGAAAAACACCACGACAUAUUGCCCAGCAACCAUAUUUCACAGCUGAAAAGUGGAGGGUGGAUUCUUUGCUGUGAUGGAGUUUUUUCAACAAACACCAGAAGCACCGAUGAUCCGUAAUGCUAGGCAUGGAUUUAUUCUGUUUCGGUUUGUUUUUUUGUUUUUGUGAUGGGAUGCGGUGGGUCAAGAUAAGCGAUGAGUCACGGGCGUGUAGCGAUGGAGCCCAUCAGUGCUGUGUGCUGCUUUAAAGGGUCUGCAAGGGAGGAAAUUGGGCAGGCAGGCGGGUGGGGUAGGAGAGACGAAUUUCCUCGAACGAAGGACAUACGCCUGGGAGGGAGCCGCACGAUUCAUGGACAUUGCACGUGAUAUGGCACACCUGCUCCGCUUUAUAAAGCCAACUAGCUCACACUUGACCCUCUAUCUUGGGCCACAUGUUCCCUCAACCUGCCGCAUCUGACCGCAUUUGGUGCACUAGUUGUGGGCGCUAUGACUAGACCACACCCACCUUCACUGUCCUGUUUUUGUGCUUUCUUUUUGAACUGCGAAUGCAGUCUCAAGGCACCUUUUUCCAGUGUUGGAGUUACAAUUCCAAUUUGUGUGUGAAGUGUUAACGUAAGAUUUUGAAGCAGGACUUGUGCUUACCUCCAGAACUUAAUUCUUUUACUAUUUUAUGAACUCUCCUCUGCCUUCAAGUUAGCCGAGUCCACCUUCACGACGUUGUUCAUGUGACUCCAAUUCAUCGUGUGCGUUCAGCAUGCAUGCAAUGGUUGUUUAUUAGACUUUCUGCGACAAAUUUCCCACUUCCUUGAGAACGGUCUUCGAACACUGCAAACUGUGCCCAAUGUGACAACUACACGACAUGACUCUGGAUGACUCCCACGAGAAGCACUUACUGAGUCGUCACGCGCAAGAGAAGUGGAACAGAAUCUGCUCAGAAUGUAGAAGGAGAUCAAUUGCAGUCUCCAUGUGCACACCAUUCACUGCUGACGACCAUCUUCAAGGAAUAAUGCUGCAAGAGAAUGCAUAUAAUACAUCCGAAGUCGUCAGUGGAGAUGCGAGAACGAUGUGGAGAUGUUCGGAUCUUACCCCGUUGGCCCACCCACGUGCUGCAGGAGAACUGCCACGAGCACGGAGACCUGCACAAUUGUCGCGAUUGACCUUACAGAAUCACGACGCCUCUAACUGAAAUUUCUUUCUUGGCCCAUCGAUCAUAAAACCAGCAAGGGGUGCAAGCUUUCUUUGUCAUCGGAGCUCCAGCUCAUUAGAUAAGGCCUAGUCUCUACAGUGCUGACACCUGAUGUGUGUGCGAGCGCAGACAUGGGCGGAUAUAUGUAUUUAUAUAUAUAUUUAUAAAUAUAUACACAUAUAUAUAAAUACAUAUAUUGCUUUCCUGACUGUACUGAUUGCUUCUGCAAAACAAGGCAUUAACACUUGUUGCGACAGGAGUCAAACUUAAAUCUGGACUGUGCGUGGGGUCAGUCAUCCCGAAGCAAUCACUCACCCACGUCAUUAACCGCGUGAUGCAGAACAUAUGGCAACGUUGUAAUUGACGAGGGAAGAUUGUACAGGACAACCUCCCCCAUACACAUAGAUAAUUAUUUUCGAGGGUCACCAUCUCAAUAGAUUGAGGUCGUUUACCGGUGCACAUGUGACAAGACCUUUCGUUCGAUUGGCCAAUAUCCGUUACCAGCAGUUGUGCAUGCUCUUUUCUGAAGCUAUCAUCUAUAGUCAAGUUUUAGAAUGGGCUAAAUUAGGAUUAGGAUUCGCAGCGGAGAAAGCCUCUGCUUUCUUUCCAGCCAUAGAAGUGAGGUAGAUUGUCCAGACGAAGGAGCAGCAGUUGUUGAAUAACACCUGCGCCAGUCAGCAGCAAGUGUCGGCAAAGAUGCUGAAUAGUUUAUUUCUUAUAUUGCAAAGCUCUGCUUGAAUCAUGUGAUUCACUUUAUUUUUUUUCACAGAAAAUGCUGAUACUUUUGCAGACACUCUAGGGGUGGUAAAAUUUCUUCAGUUUCAGUUCCAAAGA
This is a non-coding RNA of Physcomitrium patens, 3915 nucleotides long. The record is from RefSeq and is a predicted model, not a curated record. Lineage: Eukaryota; Viridiplantae; Streptophyta; Bryopsida; Funariales; Funariaceae.